RNAcentral lists this ribosomal RNA (253 nucleotides) under uncultured bacterium. RNAcentral's name for it is "partial 16S ribosomal RNA". It matches the Rfam family "Bacterial small subunit ribosomal RNA", at positions 524 to 776 of the family's 1533-position model. The record is from RNAcentral.
UACGUAGGGACCAAGCGUUGUCCGGAAUCAUUGGGCGUAAAGCGCGCGUAGGUGGCCAUUUAAGUCCGCUGUGAAAGUCAAAGGCUCAACCUUUGAAAGCCGGUGGAUACUGGAUGGCUAGAGUACGGAAGAGGCGAGUGGAAUUCCUGGUGUAGCGGUGGAAUGCGCAGAUAUCAGGAGGAACACCAAUAGCGAAGGCAGCUCGCUGGGACGGUACUGACACUGAGGCGCGAAAGCGUGGGGAGCGAACAGG